This 1386-nucleotide long non-coding RNA is filed under the name Struthio camelus australis. Its description in RNAcentral is "lncRNA (ENSSCUG00000015984.1)". The record is from RNAcentral. Lineage: Eukaryota; Metazoa; Chordata; Aves; Struthioniformes; Struthionidae.
CCCACACUAGCCAACUGUGUGGAAGGUCUUGGCUUGGCUUGCUCCAGAGGUGGAACUUGGGCUCCGGCUGGCACAGCAGCAGGCUGAGAACAACUGAUGUGGGCAGAGGAAGUGCAGGUGCCAUGCUGGUGGGUGAAAAGCUGUCAAUGCGCAGAGAAGACCCUCUCCGAGGUGGCUUCUCCUCCCUUCGGAGGUAGCUGAGAAGCAGCUGGCAGGAAGUGGAAGGCACCGAGUUGCUGGUGCCAUUGCACCCCAGCAGGCGAGGAGGAGCUGGGAAAAGAGAUAACUUCUCCUUGCAGGGUGCUUUCCUCCCGCUAACAAGCCGUCUCUCAGUUUGCCAGCCAGAUUUCCUCAACAUGUGUUUGCACACAUUGGCAGAUGUCCUCCUGACUGCUGGUCACUUGUACGCUGAUAUGGACGUGAACAUGAUGUCAUGGGAAGAAGUGGAGAAAGGAGAGGACAACAGAGGUGAAGCUUGGCUGUUAUUCAAAGGAACAGCCCACACGGCCUUCCACUGCAAGGCUGGCGGAAUGCUUUGGAUCAGCCGGAUCCAAGUUUCCAUGACAUCUUCGUCUUCAUUUGGAUUCCAGAAGUGCUUUACCAUGACUGAGGUUUCACUGCGCUAGAUACUGUCCAAGAGUGUAAUGAGAGACCAGCUCAGCUCCCAUGGGCUUACGUUACAGAUCAACAAAGAGAAAUGAACUAUUCCGAUCUCUGUUUCUGUGGAAGGAGCAAUGAUUGGCUCACAGUCUUCUGAGUCGUCCUGUAACCAUUAAAACCAUCUUUCCACCCUGUUUCGUUUCGCUUGCUUUACUAGAAAACAGUCCUUUCUUUCUCUGAGUCAAUCCGCAUCACCUUUUCGUAGUUCAGGGUUGUCACAAAGGCUGUCCAUCUUUUUAUUUUUUCCUUGAGAAAACUAGGCUAAAAAGCAAAGCAUGACUGCAGACAUCAUACCCACCCUAUUGACCUCUGUUUUCCAAUUCCAGCUCAAUGCACAGCUUGCAAUCAUUACAAAAGGAAUUACACUCUGGCGGCCCACUAAAGACAUGUAGAUGCUCUGCUAUUUGCUAUUCUUUUCCUUUCUGUUUGCUAUAGCCGUUUCCUUUCUACCUGCUGUAUCCAUUUCUUUCUUUCUUUACAAUAGUGUUUGCACUUACACCCUGCUGGGUUCCCUGUCUAAGAUCAUUUUUCUGUAGUUUUUGAAACUCCUGGCCGAAGUCAAUGAAGUUAGUCCAAACUGACACUACUGUUGGUAGAAACAACAUUUGUGUCAAAGGCUUGUCCUGUAUAAUGUCUCAGAGUUGCCCCCUGGCUCUUUUUUUUCUACUGGCAUAUGGGACAAGAUUCUGAACUGGUGUAAAUUAGUGUAACUUCACUGAAAUCAGA